GAGGCAGCAGUGGGGAAUAUUGCACAAUGGGCGCAAGCCUGAUGCAGCCAUGCCGCGUGUGUGAAGAAGGCCUUCGGGUUGUAAAGCACUUUCAGCGGGGAGGAAGGCGAUAAGGUUAAUAACCUUGGCGAUUGACGUUACCCGCAGAAGAAGCACCGGCUAACUCCGUGCCAGCAGCCGCGGUAAUACGGAGGGUGCAAGCGUUAAUCGGAAUUACUGGGCGUAAAGCGCACGCAGGCGGUCUGUCAAGUCGG
RNAcentral lists this ribosomal RNA (254 nucleotides) under Klebsiella pneumoniae. Its description in RNAcentral is "partial 16S ribosomal RNA". It matches the Rfam family "Bacterial small subunit ribosomal RNA", at positions 345 to 591 of the family's 1533-position model. The record is from RNAcentral. Lineage: Bacteria; Pseudomonadati; Pseudomonadota; Gammaproteobacteria; Enterobacterales; Enterobacteriaceae.